UACGGAGGGGGCUAGCGUUUUUCGGAAUUACUGGGCGUAAAGCGCACGUAGGCGGACUGGAAAGUCAGGGGUGAAAUCCCGGGGCUCAACCCUGGAACUGCCUUUGAAACUCCCGGUCUUGAGGUCGAGAGAGGUGAGUGGAAUUCCGAGUGUAGAGGUGAAAUUCGUAGAUAUUCGGAGGAACACCAGUGGCGAAGGCGGCUCACUGGCUCGAUACUGACGCUGAGGUGCGAAAGCGUGGGGAGCAAACAGG
RNAcentral lists this ribosomal RNA (253 nucleotides) under uncultured bacterium. RNAcentral describes it as "partial 16S ribosomal RNA". It matches the Rfam family "Bacterial small subunit ribosomal RNA", at positions 524 to 776 of the family's 1533-position model. The record is from RNAcentral.